RNAcentral lists this ribosomal RNA (328 nucleotides) under uncultured bacterium. RNAcentral describes it as "bacterial SSU rRNA". It matches the Rfam family "Bacterial small subunit ribosomal RNA", at positions 28 to 334 of the family's 1533-position model. The record is from RNAcentral.
GACGAACGCUGGCGGCGGUGCCUAACACAUGCAAGUCGAACGAAGCUUGACUACGGACUCCUUCGGGACGAAGUAAGAUAUGACUGAGUGGCGGACGGGUGAGUAACGCGUGAGUAACCUGCCUUUCAGAGGGGAAUAGCGUUUGGAAACGACUGCUAAUACCGCAUAAGACCACAGAGCCGCAUGGCUCGGGGGUCAAAGGAGAAAUCCGCUGAAGGAUGGCCUCGCGUCCGAUUAGCUAGUUGGCGGGGUAACGGCCCACCAAGGCGACGAUCGGUAGCCGGACUGAGAGGUUGAUCGGCCACAUUGGGACUGAGACACGGCCCAG